AGGUGAUGACUACUGCAAGGACCAGGAGGAGUCAGUGCUUAGAGGAGUUGCCUAUGAGAAACACUGAGGAGGGUAAGCAUCAUUCCAGCAGCUUUGACUCCUGGGAAAGAAUAUGGUUGGAUCCUUACCCUCAACUCCACUCUCCACCUCUCAACUGACCACACAUAUAAUAUAUAUACGUCCUGUCUAUCCUGUUUUUGGAAUUAGUCUGUUGCUUGGCUUCUCCCAUUUGUUGUUUUUGUCAUUAAACCCUUUUACUUUUUGGACGAUUCCAUCGCACCCAUUGAUGGAAUUGCCACCUUAGUCCCAGAGUCACAGAGCCGAAGCUACAAGAAAUAGAGAAGGCACUCUGUGCUUCAGUCAUCCUAAAUUUUGUCUCAGAGUGAUGUCCUUAAUAUUCUUGGCUCUUAUAAAUCUCUAGCUUGUUCUCCAAAGGAACUUAAAAGAACGAGAUUCAAGGGGUAAGCUCCAAGCCUGAACCAACAGCUCUUAGAGCAAGGGACUGAUCUCUGCUGGGCCCUUGUGGCUGGUUUCAGCUCCUGUUCCAAGAGGAUAAUGAAGAAAAGCUGGAUUUCAGUAAAGAAAUGGAAUCUUUAUUCAGCAAAAGAAGCCAGUAUUAAAAACCCAGAAAACUAAUCUGUUCUUUCUAUUAGAACAGAUGUAGACUCAUCAAAAAAUAUAGUUCAAAUUUAUAAAUUAAUCUGAUGGCAGUGAUGCAGAUUAAGAACUGAUGGGUUUUUCAUGGCUUUUAAAAAAUUCUUUUAAUAUGUUUAGCCAGCUCUCAAGAUCCCUGGAUAUUGCUUUCUUAUCACUGUAUUAUCUCUUGGUAUAUUGUUUUUGCAUCUUAAAUUUCAUUGUUACACCCUGACAACUUGGAAUUUGUGGUCUCAUAUCACCACUAAGUUAUGAUGGUUUUGCUGUGUGAUAUUAAUAACUUUCUCAGCAUUUGUUAAACUGAAGGACCUGCCUUUGUAUACCAAAGAGGGAAAUAAGUGAAAAUAUUCUACUGUUGUUGCUGAUAGAAAUCGACCUUUGCGUUGUGUAUUUUCUGAAGUCUUCCAGUUCUGAAGCUGUUUGUGUGUCCAAAGUGCACCAGAAACCCCAGGCUUUGGCUGAAGUUUCAUGAGGAUUACAAGAAAAUCUGCUGACCUCUGUCAGUGUAAACACAGGAAAAGUGUCAGAAAAUGUCAGGAACUACUGUGAACACAAUUGAUGAGAAAUCAGUGAAACAAAAGAAAUAUUACUAUUGAUAGUACCAUAGUACUUAUUAGCACUAUGUUUAAUGCAUGUUUUUACGUCAUCUCACUCUCAUAUCUGGCAAAUGCAUCAGGUACGUGAAAUGAGUCUCUAAUUAAAAAGAACUGCAGUGGGAUCCUGACUUCAUUAAAACUGCGCAUUUGCCUGUGUUUAGUCAUACCUGUAAGUACUUGAAGUAAGAUCCUGAUGCAGAGACACACUUCCAUCUUUGUAACCUCUUUCAGUCUGAUCUUACAGAGUUUCAAAAAAGAAACAACUGAAAAUUGAGAUGGUAUUGAUUGACGUUACAUGAUCUCCAAAGCCUUACCUUUACUGUAAAUUUGU
Zonotrichia albicollis (white-throated sparrow) is the source of this 1581-nucleotide non-coding RNA. Lineage: Eukaryota; Metazoa; Chordata; Aves; Passeriformes; Passerellidae. The record is from RefSeq and is a predicted model, not a curated record.